This 486-nucleotide ribosomal RNA is filed under the name uncultured bacterium. RNAcentral describes it as "bacterial SSU rRNA". It matches the Rfam family "Bacterial small subunit ribosomal RNA", at positions 899 to 1397 of the family's 1533-position model. The record is from RNAcentral.
ACUCAAAGGAAUUGACGGGGCCCCGCACAAGCAGCGGAGCGUGUGGUUUAAUUCGAUGUUACACGAAGAACCUUACCAGGGUUUGACAUGCAAGUAUCGGAAGGUGCGAAAGUAUCUUCCACCCUCGGGAGGCUUGCACAGGUGCUGCAUGGCUGUCGUCAGCUCGUGUCGUGAGAUGUUCGGUUAAGUCCGCUAACGAGCGCAACCCUCACUGUGUGUUAUAUGUGUCACACGGGACCGCCGGUCUUAAGCCGGAGGAAGGUGGGGAUGACGUCAAGUCAGCAUGGCCUUUAUAUCCUGGGCUACACACACGCUACAAUGGCCAACACAAUAGGUCGCUAAGCCGCGAGGUGGAGCCAAUCCAUAAAGUUGGUCUCAGUUCAGAUUGCAGGCUGCAACCCGCCUGCAUGAAGAUGGAGUUGCUAGUAACCGCAGGUCAGCUAUACUGCGGUGAAUACGUUCCCGGGGCUUGUACACACCGCCCGU